UAUUAUUUUUAGCGGUUCUCGACAGCAUCAUCAUACAGUCGAUUACGAGCCCUAGAGUUCUUCUACUAAUCCUUGCGUUUGGCAAAUUUUAUAAUGUAUUUUUUAGUAAAUUUUAUAAAAUAUAGCAGAACGUUGUUUUUUAAAUGUAACAAAGAAUGCUGUUCUUUAAAUGUAACAAAGAGUUAAAAGUAAAAAAUGUGUUUGCAUAAUUGUUAUUCGCAAACCUAUCACGAUCCUAACGGGCACAAGACGCGUUUUAGACGUCUAAAAAAUGUAUUAAACGUAUUAGUUUGCUUAUUAUAUGUUUAAAAUACGUCAUGUGCUUACACUGGGAUUGCUGCAAAACUAUGUUAAACUUUUUCUUAGUAAAACAAAUGUUGAUUAAACUCGUAUUUAAUAAUAAACUUUGUAUUGGUAAAUAUAGCAAUAUAGCCAUUGUUGUAUACAGCUAUAUUGGAUAUAUAGCUGUAUACAACAAUUUAUAUAGAACGGACAUCUUCUGGCGUAAAUAGUUAACGACGUUUUUUUAUUCUAAGACUUGAAAAAGAGUUAGAUAAGAGUGCUGAUAGUUAGGUUCUUAUUUCUACAACAGUUAAAAAUUUAAAGUUCGCUCACCAGGCAACAUUAACUCUAGCUAUGACAUUUUACAAUAAGGAAGACUAACCAUGGAACAUAAACGAAAAAAGUUAUCAGGUUUCGCCAACCGUAAAUUAAAUAAAGAGAAAGAAGCGAGGCAAAAAGCUUUUCUGGAAAAAAUUCCUGCAUUAAAAAAUUUCUUUAAAAAAGGCAAAACACUUUCUAUGAGUGUUACACAAGGUGAGCAACACAAAGAAGGAAAAGAAAAAAUCAACAACAGUAUGACAAUAAUGCCCAGCAAUCAAACGUGAAAGAAAAAGAAGAGGACCAGACACAACAACAAGAAGACCAGGCGCAACAAAACCUGCAACAGCCACAGCCAGAAGAUCAAGAAAGAGAAUAUUUAGGUGAAGAUGAACUUAAUAAAAUGUUGAGUGUUAAUUAUGCUGGUCCUGCAUUAUGGGGAAGAUUAAGCGAAGAUGAAAUUAUAGAUGUAAUGAAGAACAUAUCUAACGUAGAGGUAGAUAUUCAAAAACUAGACUUUACUGCAUCUAAAGUAUUCUAUAAAUCACAGAGCAGGUAUGCUACAAAAAUAAUAUUUUAUAGACAUUUACUAAACGGAAAACAACAAAAAAGAAACUGGCUUUUGUAAUCAAAUACUUCAGGAAAUGUUUAUUGCAUCCCUUGCAAACUAUUUGAUAGUGUCAAUAAUCCAUUUACUGCAGGCUUCAACAAUGAACAUUCGGACUAUGAAAAUUCAGCCCUUCAUAAAGAAAACACAUGUAUACUUGUGAACAGAUCUACAGAAAAAUGGAAAUAUUUCAAAAAUUAUUCUAUUAUAUCAAUAAAAAAAAAUACGAAUUA
This is a non-coding RNA of Hydra vulgaris (swiftwater hydra), 1440 nucleotides long. Lineage: Eukaryota; Metazoa; Cnidaria; Hydrozoa; Anthoathecata; Hydridae. The record is from RefSeq and is a predicted model, not a curated record.